AGCGGCGGACGGGUGAGUAACACGUGGGCAACCUACCUGUAAGAUCGGAAUAACUCCGGGAAACCGGGGCUAAUGCCGGAUAACACUUUCUUUUGCAUGAAGGAAAGUUAAAAGAUGGCUUCUUGCUAUCACUUACAGAUGGGCCCGCGGCGCAUUAGCUCGUUGGUGAGGUAACGGCUCACCAAGGCAACGAUGCGUAGCCGACCUGAGAGGGUGAUCGGCCACACUGGGACUGAGACACGGCCCAGACUCCUACGGGAGGCAGCAGUAGGGAAUCUUCCGCAAUGGACGAAAGUCUGACGGAGCAACGCCGCGUGAACGAUGAAGGCCUUCGGGUCGUAAAGUUCUGUUGUUAGGGAAGAACAAGUACCAGAGUAACUGCUGGUACCUUGACGGUACCUAACCAGAAAGCCACGGCUAAC
Molecule: ribosomal RNA, 422 nt
Filed under: uncultured bacterium
Lineage: Bacteria
Description: bacterial SSU rRNA
Rfam family: Bacterial small subunit ribosomal RNA
Source: RNAcentral